Molecule: transfer RNA, 72 nt
Organism: Plasmopara halstedii
Lineage: Eukaryota; Oomycota; Peronosporomycetes; Peronosporales; Peronosporaceae
Rfam family: tRNA
About the family: Transfer RNA (tRNA) molecules are approximately 80 nucleotides in length. Their secondary structure includes four short double-helical elements and three loops (D, anti-codon, and T loops). Further hydrogen bonds mediate the characteristic L-shaped molecular structure. tRNAs have two regions of fundamental functional importance: the anti-codon, which is responsible for specific mRNA codon recognition, and the 3' end, to which the tRNAs corresponding amino acid is attached (by aminoacyl-tRNA synthetases). tRNAs cope with the degeneracy of the genetic code in two manners: having more than one tRNA (with a specific anti-codon) for a particular amino acid; and 'wobble' base-pairing, i.e. permitting non-standard base-pairing at the 3rd anti-codon position.
Source: Rfam
UUCUUUGUAGCUCAACGGUAGAGCAAAUGGCUGUUAACCAUUAGGUUGUGGGUUCGAAUCCUAUCGAAGAAG